ACCAGUUUUCCUAUACAAAUAGUGGAAGCAAAUGAGCAUAUUUUCACAUAGUUUCUGCAAGAGAUCAUCAGUACUGGAGGAGUGAAAGAGAGAGAUGGGUUUUCAAGCUCGGCUGUGCUUCUUCUUCCUCCUCCUUACCUUUGCCGUAAUGUGCUUUGCUCGUGAAGCCCCUUUAGGGAGUCAAAAGAAUUUGGUCGUCGAUGACUACGACGGUCCACAUGCUAAUCCUAAGCAUGAUCCACCCCAUUCUCCUCCUAAGCUAGCGACCACCUCACUUUCGAAAAUACUCACUCAGAGAGACCAAGCUAGUCCGUGAUCCUUUGUUCGUCAAUUGAAGUGAAUAAAUACAUAAAUAAUGUGCACAAGACGUCGUUUUGCACUUUAACAAAGCUUGUGUUGUAAUCGUAUUAUUUCAGCUAAAUAAUAUUACUUUCACUGA
Molecule: long non-coding RNA, 439 nt
Organism: Alnus glutinosa
Lineage: Eukaryota; Viridiplantae; Streptophyta; Magnoliopsida; Fagales; Betulaceae
Exons: 3
Source: RefSeq, a predicted model, not a curated record